AGAGUUUGAUCCUGGCUCAGAUUGAACGCUGGCGGCAUGCCUAACACAUGCAAGUCGAACGGUAACAGGUCUUCGGAUGCUGACGAGUGGCGGACGGGUGAGUAAUGCGUAGGAAUCUGUCUUUUAGUGGGGGACAACCCAGGGAAACUUGGGCUAAUACCGCAUGAGCCCUGAGGGGGAAAGCGGGGGAUCUUCGGACCUCGCGCUAAGAGAGGAGCCUACGUCUGAUUAGCUAGUUGGUGAGGUAAAGGCUUACCAAGGCGACGAUCGGUAGCUGGUCUGAAAGGAUGAUCAGCCACACUGGGACUGAGACACGGCCCAGACUCCUACGGGAGGCGAC
This 340-nucleotide ribosomal RNA is filed under the name uncultured prokaryote. RNAcentral describes it as "bacterial SSU rRNA". It matches the Rfam family "Bacterial small subunit ribosomal RNA", at positions 8 to 352 of the family's 1533-position model. The record is from RNAcentral.